AGUGCAAAUGUAUCAAACAGCACACACAAUGGAAUGAAACAAACCUGGAUUUUAGUUCUAUUAUCACUAUUUCCUAGCUAGCUAACUUCUUCCUUUUCAUUAAUUACUGUGACCAAUUAUUAUUCAAGAUAAAUUAUUAAUAUCUCUAUUGUGUGACUCUUUGGAUUGACUAUAAUGCAGUCAAAGUGAUACCACACUGCUUGGCACAUGGUAGUAAUUGUACUGCUAAUAUAUUUAUAAAUAGUUGUCUUUUAAUGCAAAUUAUGUAUAUGCCAUCAAAUUUGAGAAAAGAAUGUAGAAGUGUAAAAACUGACUGAGAUAGCAAAGAGUCAUAUCUUUGAGUGUCAAUCAUCUGGUCAAUUCCAGGGAAGAGUACUUAUGGAGACACAGGCAUACGUGAGGGCAGAGGAAGGAGAGGAAAGCAUCAGGCUGACUUCAUUCCUGUUUAGCGGGGCCACUAUUCUCUCCAACUAUUUUAGUUUUAUUGCAUGUUUCUAAAUCCAUAAAGCACUGAUCCAGACUGAUGAAAAACACACUGGGAUCUUUUCUCUUUUGAUGGUUCACACGGCAACUUCAUUUUUGUUGCUGGAUUUCCCUAGUUGUGUAGAGGAUUUUCUGGUUUUGCUGGCAUAAUUCUUGAUUGGAAACAAUCGUGCAGAAACAGCUAUUAUGACUUGAGAGUGAUAUUGCAUUCCAGGUAUCAUUUUUGUCUUUGUAAAAUAGAUAAAAUAAUAGGGAUUUAGCCAAUACCUUUUCUUUGUGGAGAAAAAAAAAAUCAAACUCUUCAUUAUUUUGCACCAUCUCCCAAAUUCUAAUUUUAAUCUAGACUUUGUAAAGAAUGACCAAUGCCUAAUAAUAUUUCUGCUAUAAUUUUCCAGAUUAUAGCAAAUUAAUGCUUUGGUAGCGGGAUGGAGGUGAGGGAAGAGUGAAGGACUUAUUCAACAAAUAUAUAUAAUGGAAUCAGUGACCUCCAAGACCUCUGACAUCCCUGGAGGCUUGUAAAAGGAGUACUUACAGAUGGCAGCUUGCAGUGGAAAGGAACUGAACUGUAUCUGAAGAUCAAUACUUAUGGUAUUGCUCUAAAUCACAAUUUAGAAAAUAAGAAAUAAUGGCUAAUGAGAAAUAACAGUUAAAUUGUUACAAACAAUCAAAAGGGUGUUGCUGGAGAAACCAGGUCUUCGCAUUGCUUUAUUGCAAGGCCAAUAAAGAAAAUGGAAACAAAAUCUAACUACAAUGUUUCACAAUGUUAUUUAAUAUGAAGCUGUCAAAGAUACAAAAAUAGAAGAUUUGCAUAUUUGUUUGAAUAAAUUGAGCCUGAGGAAGUUCAAUCAAUAACUUACAUUAAGACCUUUAAUUGCAUAAGUUUUUUGACUGAGAUUUAACUUCAUUUUAUUCAAAAGGACCCCAGAGACACAUUAUCCUUCAGUCAAGUACAGAGCCCUUACAUGUUGUUGAGAUUUUGCCACACUAUUUGUGACAAUAAACCAGAGAUUGAAAUAGUGGUCAGCAUGAUUAACCAUGUACCAAAUCUUUACAUAAGGAAGUAAAUUUGAUGCAUAUUUAAAAUGAAAUUCAUUUUUUUGGGUAGAAGAGUUUUUCUUAGCAACAUAAAAAAACUCAAAUUACUACUUAGCAUUACAGAAAAUAUUUCAAGAAUUAGCUUAUGGUCUAUGAAAAUGUCCAAUAAUUAUAGUCCUUUUUUUCUACUAGGUUGGGAACUAGGUUUCAAUAAAAGGCUUUAGAUUUAAAUAAUCAAUUUCACUAUGUUGUGUGUUUGCCUGUCAAUACUUAAAUAAGAAUAAAAUGAAGAAUAAUGGAUCUGAUCUAUUGUAAUUAACUAUGUGAGUUUUGUUCUGACAGUAACUAACAUGGGAAGAAAUGAUCAUGAAAAGGCCCUUGAGAGGGCAGUGGGCCCAUUCCCAUAACUUUUAUUCUAAUAAAACAGAGGAUGUCGAUUUUUUAUUCCCUUAUUAUAGAUAGAACCUCAUCACUUAUAUAUUCACCUUGGAUUGAGGGGACGUUAGUCAUGGCUGAGUACUCUGAUUUCCCCCCUCCAGCUGGACAGUUUAAUGAACAGACUCACUCCUUCAGGACCAAAUGAGAUAAUGCAUGCAAAAUCACUUCGAAGAGCUUAAGGAAAAAAAGAAAUACUAAAACUGUGCUUCUGAUUCCUAUAAUCAUGUAAGGAAUGAGAUUCUUCAACUGAGAGAUGUCAAGGUGGGCAUAUGGCUGCUAUGUCAAUAUCUGCUGAGUGACCUUUCACAGGACACUCAGAAAGAGGACCAAGAGGUGAAGAUUGGAUGAUGCAGAGAACUCAGAGAAAAGACAGGUUAUCCUCAAGGGAAGCUCAAACUUCACUUCUCUAACCUCUGGGAGUUGAACCAGCAGAAGUUGCUAUCCUUCAGUGGUCUGACACUGCAGUGUUUUCUUUCAAGAAUAUUUUCUAUACAUUUUUUUUUUGCCAUAAACAAGCACUAGCAUGAUGAGAAUGAUUUAGAAUGAAGAAGAAACAUUUGACAUGAUAAGUGAAAAAGAAGUUUAACAGCAAAAACUUUGACUCUGGAAUUUGACUCACGACUAUGUAUUACAAAAUACUACAAAUAAGUGGAUGAUUCACAUCAAUAAUUAGAACAAAUACAAAAUCUCCUUGAAUAGGACACAGACCACACUUAGCACAAAGAAUGAUCAUGUGAAGACACAGUGAGCAACAGUCAUCUGCAAAGCAAGAUCUCAGGAAAUGAAUCUGCUGACACUGUAAUCUUGGACUUCUAGAGCCCAAAAUUUUGAGGAAAUGAAUUUCUGUUGCUUGAGUCAUGGUCUGCAUAUCUGUAUUAAUAUGCAUAGAUGUUGAUAUAAUAUAUUAUAGAUGAAUAAUAUAUAUAAACUAGUGUCUAGUGUUUGUCCUAUACCUUUGAUCAGUGAUGAGAAGGUUCAAAUUUAUGCCAGGCUAUUGUUCAUUAAAGAAAAAAAAUAGCAAAACUCCUCAACUCCUUUUGUAUUUAAGAUAUUUUUAAGAUUAUGCAGAACGCUUAGUUUCUUCUAAUUUGCCCUCUAUGUUCAGUGUGUGAUAGUUAAUUCUGCUGUUAAUGAGACAUAAAAAUAAAGAACAGCAGUAGAAAUGGUCUCAUGAAGCAUUUGAUGGAGCUGCUUCUUUCUCUCUGCACCUGCUUAGUUAAGCUUUUUAAGCAGAAGUCUAUUUGUUACAUAAUUGGAUAAUGAUUUAAUUUGAAUGAGUUAACAAUUUCACACCUUCUAAGCAUAAGGUGAAUACUAAGUAAAAUCACUACUCUAAUAUCCUCACAUAGGUCACUUUUAUUACCUAUAAUGGAACAAUGAGAUGAACUUGUAGUUUCAAAUUCAAAUACUCCAUUACUUGCACUAAUGGAGGGGAUAAGAACAACAGAUAAUCUGAGACAGUGUCAUUUAGGAUUAGCUAUGGAAUAUGUUUUGUAUUUUCAUUCCUUUAUGUUUGAUAGUGUAGGAAUACAUAUCAAUUCAAAUAAUAAAAUUAUCAUAUUUAAAACAACUACCCAACCUCUGAAUCCUACCAUUGUAUGUCUAUGCCUAAUAGUCUUCAUAAUAUUCUCCUUGCAGUGAAUUGAAUAAUACAAUAUAUUUUAAUUGGCAUAUUUUAUCAAUUUAAUUUUAGUAAUAUUGGUAUUAUUUAAAUGACAUAUGUCAUUUAUCAGACCACUCCAGGUCCCAGGGCUCCAAUAGAUAUUCAUUGCUUAAUUGUUGCUAGUGCCAGUCAGUUGAUUUCCCAGCAUUAGAGUUACUGAUCUUAGUUAAAAACAGGAAAGGUCAUUAUUUACUGAGACUCAAAUGUCUUUCUCACCUCUUUCAUAGCACAAAUUAGCAUACACAUUAGUUAUUAAUGCUAGAAAAUAAUGAGGUGACUGCUUCCAGGGAAACAGGAUGCAUGUUUAGUAAGUUAUAGUAAGAAGUAUGGGCAACUGUAAUUUUUUGGUAAAACAAAUCUAAGGUUCAAUUGCAGCACUGAUCUUAAACCUCACUCUCAAGAUCUUCUCCAUAGAGUAUCCACUGAAAUAAACAUCAAACACCUGACCUAUUCUGUGAUUCCCUUCUUUGAACCUAUAAAUGACUUCAUUGCACUUAACAACAACAAAAAUAAUAAAAAUAAUAUUGAAGUU
Molecule: non-coding RNA, 4151 nt
Organism: Ictidomys tridecemlineatus (thirteen-lined ground squirrel)
Lineage: Eukaryota; Metazoa; Chordata; Mammalia; Rodentia; Sciuridae
Source: RefSeq, a predicted model, not a curated record